UAAUACGUAGGGUGCGAGCGUUAAUCGGAAUUACUGGGCGUAAAGCGUGCGCAGGCGGCUCUUUAAGUCAGAUGUGAAAGCCCCGGGCUUAACCUGGGAACUGCGUUUGAAACUGGAGGGCUGGAGUGUGGCAGAGGGAGGUGGAAUUCCACGUGUAGCAGUGAAAUGCGUAGAGAUGUGGAGGAACACCAAUGGCGAAGGCAGCCUCCUGGGCCAACACUGACGCUCAUGCACGAAAGCGUGGGGAGCAAACAGGAUUAGAUACCCUGGUAGUCCACGCCCUAAACGAUGUCGACUGGUUGUUGGGGAAGGAAACUUCCUUAGUAACGAAGCUAACGCGUGAAGUCGACCGCCUGGGGAGUACGGCCGCAAGGUUA
RNAcentral lists this ribosomal RNA (377 nucleotides) under uncultured bacterium. Its description in RNAcentral is "bacterial SSU rRNA". It matches the Rfam family "Bacterial small subunit ribosomal RNA", at positions 521 to 896 of the family's 1533-position model. The record is from RNAcentral.